UUCACCAAAUUUUUUUUUCUGAACCAAUUUUGAGAGUUUUUGGACCGUUUCUUUGUUUUUUGUUUUGAGGAGCAGGAGACAACUUGGAUUUUUUUAACUUUUGGAAUUUUAGGGAUAUUUUCAGCAAAGUCGUCAUCUACACAUACCGCUUUCCCCUUUUUUUUGAGUUGUUUGCCGCUUGGUAUAGCGCUUCUUCCAGCAUCUACAUCGUGCAUUUGAUUUGUUUUCAUCUCGGCACGGAUUUGUCUAGGAUAUGAACUGUGAGUACUAGGUUCCAUUGCAUGUGUAGAUUUUAGUUUUUUUAUGGUGAUUUUGGUGUUAAAAGACCCAAAACGAAAGAGGGGAUAUCACAUAUUGUAGAUUUUUUUAGGUAUUUCUUUUGGGAGAUUUGAUGUUCUUCAUGGUUUAACUUCAACUCGACUAAAGAUGGGAACGAAUUU
This 440-nucleotide long non-coding RNA is filed under the name Nicotiana benthamiana. RNAcentral describes it as "long non-coding RNA (NBEN_LNC008074)". The record is from RNAcentral. Lineage: Eukaryota; Viridiplantae; Streptophyta; Magnoliopsida; Solanales; Solanaceae.